Molecule: ribosomal RNA, 746 nt
Filed under: Microcharidius monasticus
Lineage: Eukaryota; Metazoa; Arthropoda; Insecta; Coleoptera; Carabidae
Description: partial large subunit ribosomal RNA
Rfam family: Bacterial large subunit ribosomal RNA (bases 342-500)
Source: RNAcentral
UUAAAUGGCUGCAGUAAUUUGACUGUACAAAGGUAGCAUAAUCAAUAGUUUUUUAAUUGAAAGCUUGUAUGAAAGGUUGGACGAGAUAAUAUCUGUCUUUAUUUAAUAUAAAUAAGAAUUUAAUUUUUAAGUCAAAAAGCUUAAAUUUUUAUAAAAGACGAGAAGACCCUAUAGAUCUUUAUAAAUUUAUUUUUAUAAUUAUUUUAGAUUUAUUAAUUUUAUAUUAUAUAAGUUUAUUUUAUUGGGGUAAUAAAAAGAUUUAUUUAAUUCUUUUUUUUUAUUUUAUUAAUUUAUAUAUUUUUGAUCCAUUAUUAAUGAUUAAAAGAUUAAGUUACCUUAGGGAUAACAGCGUAAUUUUUUUAGAGAGUUCAUAUUGAUAAAAAAGUUUGCGACCUCGAUGUUGGAUUAAAGAUUAAUUUAGGUGCAAAAGUUUAAAUUUUUGGUCUGUUCGACCAUUAAAUCUUUACAUGAUCUGAGUUCAGACCGGUGUAAGCCAGGUCGGUUUCUAUCUUUAUAAAAUUAAAAUAUUUUAGUACGAAAGGACCAAAUAUUAAUUAUAAUAAUUUUUAUUUUGAAUAUUAUUAAUUAUUUUGGCAGAUUAGUGCAAUGAAUUUAGAAUUCAUUUAUGUAAUUUUUUACAAAUAAUACUUGUUUAUAUUAGAUAGAAUUUUUAUAUUUAUUAGAAUAAUUUUAUUAAUUAUUUGUGUUUUAAUUAGUGUUGCUUUUUUAACUUUAUUAGAACGAAA